This 705-nucleotide ribosomal RNA is filed under the name Pantoea sp. RNAcentral describes it as "bacterial SSU rRNA". It matches the Rfam family "Bacterial small subunit ribosomal RNA", at positions 36 to 732 of the family's 1533-position model. The record is from RNAcentral. Lineage: Bacteria; Pseudomonadati; Pseudomonadota; Gammaproteobacteria; Enterobacterales; Erwiniaceae.
CUGGCGGCAGGCCUAACACAUGCAAGUCGGACGGUAGCACAGAGAGCUUGCUCUUGGGUGACGAGUGGCGGACGGGUGAGUAAUGUCUGGGGAUCUGCCCGAUAGAGGGGGAUAACCACUGGAAACGGUGGCUAAUACCGCAUAACGUCGCAAGACCAAAGAGGGGGACCUUCGGGCCUCUCACUAUCGGAUGAACCCAGAUGGGAUUAGCUAGUAGGCGGGGUAAUGGCCCACCUAGGCGACAAUCCCUAGCUGGUCUGAGAGGAUGACCAGCCACACUGGAACUGAGACACGGUCCAGACUCCUACGGGAGGCAGCAGUGGGGAAUAUUGCACAAUGGGCGCAAGCCUGAUGCAGCCAUGCCGCGUGUAUGAAGAAGGCCUUCGGGUUGUAAAGUACUUUCAGCGGGGAGGAAGGCGAUGCGGUUAAUAACCCCGUCGAUUGACGUUACCCGCAGAAGAAGCACCGGCUAACUCCGUGCCAGCAGCCGCGGUAAUACGGAGGGUGCAAGCGUUAAUCGGAAUUACUGGGCGUAAAGCGCACGCAGGCGGUCUGUUAAGUCAGAUGUGAAAUCCCCGGGCUUAACCUGGGAACUGCAUUUGAAACUGGCAGGCUUGAGUCUUGUAGAGGGGGGUAGAAUUCCAGGUGUAGCGGUGAAAUGCGUAUAGAUCUGGAGGAAUACCGGUGGCGAAGGCGGCCCCCUGG